Molecule: ribosomal RNA, 440 nt
Filed under: uncultured bacterium
Lineage: Bacteria
Description: partial 16S ribosomal RNA
Rfam family: Bacterial small subunit ribosomal RNA
Source: RNAcentral
CCUACGGGAGGCAGCAGUAGGGAAUAUUGCUCAAUGGGGGAAACCCUGAUGCAGCAACGCCGCGUGGGGGAUGAAGGUUUUCGGAUUGUAAACCCCUUUUGUCAGGGAAGAUAAUGACGGUACCUAACGAAUAAGCACCGGCUAACUCCGUGCCAGCAGCCGCGGUAAUACGGAGGGGGCAAGCGUUACCCGGAUUCACUGGGCGUAAAGAGCGCGUAGGCGGGAUAGCAAGUCUGAUGUGAAAGCAUAUGGCUUAACCCCAGGACUGCAUUUGAAACUGUAAUUCUGGAGUAUAGGAGAGGUAGGUGGAAUUCUUAGUGUAGGGGUGAAAUCCGUAGAGAUUAAGAGGAACACUCGUGGCGAAGGCGACCUACUAGAACAUAACUGACGCUGAGGCGCGAAAGCGUGGGGAGCAAACAGGAUUAGAUACCCUAGUAGUC